CCUACGGGAGGCUGCAGCUAGGAAUCUUGGGAAUGGGCGAAAGCCUGACCCAGCAACGCCGCGUGGGCGAUGAAGGCCUUCGGGUCGUAAAGCCCUUUUGUAGGGGAGGCGGUACCCUGCGAAUAAGCCACGGCUAACUACGUGCCAGCAGCCGCGGUAAUACGUAGGUGGCAAGCGUUGUCCGGAUUUACUGGGCGUAAAGGGCGUGCAGGCGGUUUGUUAAGUUCAGGGUGAAAGCUCCCGGCUCAACUGGGAGAGGUCCUUGGAUACUGGCAGACUUGAGGAGGGUAGAGGAGAGUGGAAUUCCCGGUGUAGUGGUGAUAUGCGUAGAUAUCGGGAGGAACACCAGUGGCGAAGGCGGCUCUCUGGGCCUCCUGACGCUGAGACGCGAAAGCGUGGGGAGCGAACCGGAUUAGAUACCCUUGUAGUC
RNAcentral lists this ribosomal RNA (430 nucleotides) under uncultured bacterium. RNAcentral describes it as "partial 16S ribosomal RNA". It matches the Rfam family "Bacterial small subunit ribosomal RNA", at positions 338 to 795 of the family's 1533-position model. The record is from RNAcentral.